This 298-nucleotide signal recognition particle RNA is filed under the name Propithecus coquereli (Coquerel's sifaka). Its description in RNAcentral is "Metazoan signal recognition particle RNA (ENSPCOG00000004651.1)". It matches the Rfam family "Metazoan signal recognition particle RNA". Rfam says of the family: The signal recognition particle (SRP) is a universally conserved ribonucleoprotein. It is involved in the co-translational targeting of proteins to membranes. The eukaryotic SRP consists of a 300-nucleotide 7S RNA and six proteins: SRPs 72, 68, 54, 19, 14, and 9. Lineage: Eukaryota; Metazoa; Chordata; Mammalia; Primates; Indriidae. The record is from RNAcentral.
GCCAGGUGUGGUGGCAAGUGCCUGUAGUCCCAGGUACUCGGGAGACUGAGGUGGGAAGAUUGCUCGAUCCCAGGAGUUCUGGACUGUAGUGUGCUAUGCCAAUCGAGAGUCUGCACUAAGUUCAGCAGCUAUAUGGUAACCUCCUGGGAGUAGGGGACCACCAGGUUGCCUAAGGUGGGUGAACCAGCCCAGGUCAGAAACAGAGCAGGCCAAAACUCCCAUGCUAACCUGUAGUGGAAACGCACCUGUGAAUAGCCACUGCACUCCAGCCUGGGCAACACAGUGAAACCCUGUCUCU